Molecule: ribosomal RNA, 781 nt
Filed under: uncultured bacterium
Lineage: Bacteria
Description: bacterial SSU rRNA
Rfam family: Bacterial small subunit ribosomal RNA
Source: RNAcentral
AGAGUUUGAUCAUGGCUCAGAUUGAACGCUGGCGGCAGGCCUAACACAUGCAAGUCGAGCGGUAGAGAGAAGCUUGCUUCUCUUGAGAGCGGCGGACGGGUGAGUAAUGCCUAGGAAUCUGCCUGGUAGUGGGGGAUAACGCUCGGAAACGGAGCUAAUACCGCAUACGUCCUACGGAGAAAGCAGGGGACCUUCGGGCCUUGCGCUAUCAGAUGAGCCUAGGUCGGAUUAGCUAGUUGGUGAGGUAAUGGCUCACCAGCGACGAUCCGUAACUGGUCUGAGAGGAUGAUCAGUCACACUGGAACUGAGACACGGUCCAGACUCCUACGGGAGGCAGCAGUGNNGAAUAUUGGACAAUGGGCGAAAGCCUGAUCCANNCAUGCCGCGUGUGUGAAGAAGGUCUUCGGAUUGUAAAGCCUUAAGUUGGGAGGAAGGGCAGUAAAUUAAUCUUUGCUGUUUGACGUUACCGACAGAAUAAGCCCGGCUAACUNNGUCCAGCAGCCGCGGUAAUACAGAGGGUGCAAGCGUUAAUCGGAAUUACUGGGCGUAAAGCGCGCGUAGGUGGUUCGUUAAGUUGGAUGUGAAAUCCCCGGGCUCAACCUGGGAACUGCAUUCAAAACUGACGAGCUAGAGUAUGGUAGAGGGUGGUGGAAUUUCCUGUAGCGGUGAAAUGCGUAGAUAUAGGAAGGAACACCAGUGGCGAAGGCGACCACCUGGACUGAUACUGACACUGAGGUGCGAAAGCGUGGGGAGCAAACAGGAUUAGAUACCCUAGUAGUCC